RNAcentral lists this long non-coding RNA (3631 nucleotides) under Cricetulus griseus (Chinese hamster). Its description in RNAcentral is "lncRNA (ENSCGRG00015038192.1)". The record is from RNAcentral. Lineage: Eukaryota; Metazoa; Chordata; Mammalia; Rodentia; Cricetidae.
AUUGACUGCAUUGCUCUAGAAACACGUGCACUGGACUACUGCCCAGAGCUGGGCUGCAGACUCCGUGCGUUCAGAAAGUAAAUCACAGGCACAAACCUACAACUCUGGAAUGGAAAGUGUAUGCAGAGGCCCAGGCCAGAGCUCUGGAAGAAUUCUAUGCAAGGUUUCCUCCUGUCACCAAGGAAGGAACAUUCCGAAGCCACAUUCUGGGUAGCUGGGUGGUAGCAGCUGCCAGUGGGUGAGGCUAGAGGCCAACACCCAAAUCCUUGACUCUGCCCUUCCUCCAACAUCCCAAAAGAAGCCAUAAGAGGAGUUGGAAUGGGGUGAGGGAGUGCUGCCUUUGAAAUUCAACCCCAGGCUUGCUAAAACCCACUCUAGGGUCCUCUGUGCCUCUUUCAGGAGUUGCUAGAGCCUCUGACUUCUCAGCUAUGAGGGUGUGUGUUUGUGUUCUAAAGAAAACACCUGGUUCAGGGGUUUGGGCUUUUUAUUUUUUUGUUGGUUUUGUUUUGUUUUUCCUUAGGGUCAGGAAAGAUUGGUGACUGAGUGAAUCUGAUAUAUUGAGUGUAAAGCUGUGUGAGUUGGAAUGUCUCAUUACCUCAGGGCACGGCAAAUGAGGAGGGGAGCCAAGAGCAAAGCCCCAAAGGUUGGAUCCCCUCUGUGAGCUUGCCUACCUUUGUGGAACAAAGCACAACACACAGAGCAUGCAUAAUGGUAAGUUAAUAAUACUGACCGCUCUUCCAGAGGACCAGGGUUCAAUUCCCAGCAUUCACAUGGCAGCUCACAACUGUCUGUGACUCCAGUUCCAGGGGAUCCAAUACCCUCACACAGACAUAUAUGAAAGCAAAAACACCAAUGCACAUAAAAAUAUUUUAAAAAAAGAAGCCAUGGAGCCUUCUAACUGCCUACUCCAAAAUCAACCACUGCUUUCCACAACUGGCAUUUCAUGUGGUGGAACAUGCAAGCUGGAUAGUGAUUUCUUUUCAACAUUCAUACCAACUUUGGAAAAGAAGAAUCACAAAUAACAAAGCCUGAGCUUCCCUGACCCAAACACAAAGGAUAUAGAGAGCAGGGCUUUAUCAGCCCAUCUGGGGAGCAGAGGACAUUAAAAUCCCAUCAUUCAUCCUAGAAGUAGGGAAUCUCACCAAAAAUGUGAAAAACCAACCACCUUCUUAUCAGACCUCUUCAACUGAGAUGAUCCCCAAAGGCGGUAGCCAGCUUGCCCUUUACUUCUACUGCAGAAACUCCUGCAGCGUUGUUGACUCCAUCUGAGAGCAUCAAAUCUCAAGAAGGACUGAGCAAGUUCAAGGUGGUGGGUGAGAACUUGCUUUCACUGGAGAGUCACAGCUGACUAAGAGUCACAGCUGGAUGCAGACGGAGAAUGAGAUUCUGGAAGCACAAAGAAUGAAUUCUCACUCCACUCUGGAUAUCUGCCUGGGACCAUGGUUCUUCAGCCAGUGGAAGAAUGCUCAUGAUCAAGACUCCUUCUGUGUAUUCCAGGUCCCUGCUGAACUUCAUAGUCUGGAAGUCUUGGCUGCUCAAAUUUUCUCACAGCCUGUCUUCCUGCAAAACACUCACAGAAAGAACAUAUGGGGCUGGUCUCAAUAUGGAUGCAGCUAAGACAUCAACCAUAGUGGAUCCAGAAUCAUCCCAUCUUUUUGUCCAUGGAUGCCUUGUUAUCAGGUCCAACCUCUUCAUUCUCCAACCCUAUUCCACUGCCAUCUUGUUGAGUGAUCAUGGGCAAAGGUUUAACCUCUCUUGGUUUCGAUGUAGUCACAUGUAAACUAUGUGCUAGAUAGUUUCUGUGUUCCCUCCUGUUCCAGGACUUGGCCCUUUGGAAACAAAGUGCUUUAUCAUUCAGUACACAAGAAGGCACUAACUAGUGCUGUGUCAAGCACUGGCUGCAAGAAACAACAAUUUUUGUUUAUUAAUUGUUAUUUUCUUACUCUUUCUAACAAGCAAUGGUCCUCUCUGACCAUCAGGCUUCUUAGAACCCUUCAGCAGCUUCCCCAUCGUACUUUGUAGAAACAUCAAGACAAAGUGGCAUCCUAUCCUGUGACAUUACCUCACACUUAGUUAAUACACUCCAGAUGCACCAGCUUUCUUUCUGUCUCUCUCUUUCUGGAAUAGGCUGAGCCAUAUCAACUAAAGACUUUUUGCAAGAACUUUUUGUCCUACCAGGAAUGUUCAUCCCCAAGGCAACCUAUGAUUGUCCCUUUCUCAUCAUAUAUGUCCUCAGGGUACCUUGUGAGUUAGUCUCCCCACUUUCAUUUACCUUGUUUUAUUAUGGCUAGUGGAUGAAACCUAUUGUCUAUAGAUUCUUUUGUGCUGCAAGAGCUGGCUGAAUAUUAUGUAUGAGGCAUAGACACAGAGACUGUACCAUCUGCUAGUUGAAAACAUUCAUCAUCUGGUUUAUGUAGGGAAAGAUUUCUAAUCCCUGUAUCCUAUAGUGUCAUUUAUUCACAGUGCAUAUAGUAUUUUAACUGUUAAACCAAACUUCUUCCUAUUUUGUUUGCUUUUAACUUUUUUCCCUAACAAGAAUGUAAAUGCCUUCAAGUUAAGGGACUCAUCUGUCUUGAUCUAGGUGGUUUUAUUAGCCUGACACAAAGCCAAUAAAUAAUGGUAGAACAGAUGGACCAGGUCUAUUUCCUUUUGCUCAACAGAAGCAACAAAAAGUUUAAUAUUCAUCAUAAAAUAAAACUCUCCACCUCCUGGCCUUUACAACAGUCCCAUGAUCCACUGCCAAGCUCUUCUCUACCCCUGCCUCUAAUUCUCAUUAUGUUAAUUUUUUUUUUUUUUUGCUUUGUGCUGACACUCCUAACUGCCAGUAACUUCUUUCCUCUCUCUCUGACAACUCUCUGGCCCAGUUCUUGGCCCUCAGUGAAACUUGCAGCCCUCCAGGCAGAAAUUGAUUGCUAGGAUGCCAAUUCAGGCCAGUACUGCCUCCCUUUUAGAUAUUUAUGGGCAGGGCUCUGAAUUGUGAGGGACUCAUGAACUCAGACACAUUUUUAAGAGAACUUUAUAGUUAAACCUCUGUUUGGCUAAGGGCUUAUUUUUAAAAAUAAUAAAUCUAGGUUCUUAGAGAAUAGAACUCAAGGGGCAGAAGUUUGAAUCUAUAAAGUUCACAUAUCAGUCAUGGAGGAGCCCUUGCAGCCAUCUAGUGUUUCUCAAACUUCUCUAUCUCAGUCCACCUAAUGGUAGAUCUGAAUAUCAUAUCUCCCCACAUGGAAAAAGAGUCAGUGCUUACACUAAAUCUCCAUAAUGUUUUUCACUGCGAUAAUUCAUUAUAACAUUGUGCUGGUUGGUUUUUGUCAACUGGACAUAAACCUAGAUAUACCAGAGGAGAGAGAAUAUAAACUGAAAAAAUUGCAUAUCUCAGAUUUACCCAGGGGUUAUCUGUAGGGUAUUGUGGACUGUGGGGGUAUAGUCUUUAUUAAUGACAGAUGUGAGAGGGCCCAGCUCACUGUGGGCAGUGCCAUCCCUGGGCAAGAAGUCAUGGCUUCUAUAAAGCAGCAGUCUGAGCAAGCCAUGAGGAGCAAUUCAGUAAGCAGCACCCCUCUAUGUCCUCUCCUUCAGUUUCUACCCUUUAUGAUGGACUACAAACUGUAAGCCAAAAUAAACCCUUUCCUUCCAC